CCACAGCCUAUUAAGCCGAACGAGGUUCUUCCCUCACAAGUGCCUGGUGCACAGUGACUUCAGACAGCCAUCUUCUUGGUAGUGUAUGCAGUCUGUUGCCUGUAAGGACUGCACCAAGGAUCUUAGAACCACAU
Molecule: small nucleolar RNA, 134 nt
Organism: Peromyscus maniculatus bairdii (prairie deer mouse)
Lineage: Eukaryota; Metazoa; Chordata; Mammalia; Rodentia; Cricetidae
Gene: SNORA70
Rfam family: Small nucleolar RNA SNORA70
About the family: snoRNA U70 seems to be exclusive to mammals and is a member of the H/ACA class of snoRNA which contain H (ANANNA) and ACA box motifs. H/ACA box snoRNAs are involved in the conversion of uridines to pseudouridines (5-ribosyluracil) a constituent of structural RNAs (transfer, ribosomal, small nuclear, and small nucleolar).
Source: Ensembl